RNAcentral lists this unclassified non-coding RNA (342 nucleotides) under soil metagenome. RNAcentral describes it as "partial contains 5.8S ribosomal RNA, internal transcribed spacer 2, and large subunit ribosomal RNA". The stretch from base 4 to 119 matches the Rfam family "5.8S ribosomal RNA", at positions 39 to 154 of the family's 154-position model. The record is from RNAcentral.
GAUAAGAACGCAGCGAAAUGCGAUAAGUAAUGUGAAUUGCAGAAUCCAGUGAAUCAUCGAAUCUUUGAACGCACAUUGCGCCCGCCAGCAUUCUGGCGGGCAUGCCUGUUCGAGCGUCAUUUCAACCCUCGACCUCCCUUUGGGGAAGUCGGCGUUGGGGACCGGCAGCACACCGCCGGCCCUGAAAUGGAGUGGCGGCCCGUCCGCGGCGACCUCUGCGUAGUAAACCAACUCGCACCGGAACCCCGACGUGGCCACGCCGUAAAACACCCAACUUCUGAACGUUGACCUCGAAUCAGGUAGGACUACCCGCUGAACUUAAGCAUAUCAAUAAGCGGAGGA